UACGGAGGGUGCAAGCGUUAAUCGGAAUUACUGGGCGUAAAGGGUGCGUAGGUGGUGAUAUAAGUUAACUGUGAAAUCCCCGGGCUCAACCUGGGAAGGUCAGUUAAGACUGUGUGACUAGAGUAUGGGAGAGGGUAGUGGAAUUUCCGGUGUAGCGGUGAAAUGCGUAGAGAUCGGAAGGAACACCAGUGGCGAAGGCGGCUACCUGGCCUAAUACUGACACUGAGGCACGAAAGCGUGGGUAGCAAACAGG
RNAcentral lists this ribosomal RNA (253 nucleotides) under uncultured bacterium. RNAcentral describes it as "partial 16S ribosomal RNA". It matches the Rfam family "Bacterial small subunit ribosomal RNA", at positions 524 to 776 of the family's 1533-position model. The record is from RNAcentral.